GUUCCAAUGGCUUAUUUGUUAGAGCAUCCGCUUCGGAUGCAGGAGGUCGUGGGUUCAAUCCCCGGCUGAGCCA
Non-coding RNA from Potamilus streckersoni, 73 nucleotides. Lineage: Eukaryota; Metazoa; Mollusca; Bivalvia; Unionida; Unionidae. The record is from the annotation of a GenBank genome assembly.